GGAUCAUUACUGAGUUUACGCUCUAUAACCCUUUGUGAACAUACCUAUAACUGUUGCUUCGGCGGGUAGGGUCUCCGUGACCCUCCCGGCCUCCCGCCCCCGGGCGGGUCGGCGCCCGCCGGAGGAUAACCAAACUCUGAUUUAACGACGUUUCUUCUGAGUGGUACAAGCAAAUAAUCAAAACUUUUAACAACGGAUCUCUUGGUUCUGGCAUCGAUGAAGAACGCAGCGAAAUGCGAUAAGUAAUGUGAAUUGCAGAAUUCAGUGAAUCAUCGAAUCUUUGAACGCACAUUGCGCCCGCCAGCAUUCUGGCGGGCAUGCCUGUUCGAGCGUCAUUUCAACCCUCAAGCUCUGCUUGGUGUUGGGGCCCUACAGCUGAUGUAGGCCCUCAAAGGUAGUGGCGGACCCUCCCGGAGCCUCCUUUGCGUAGUAACUUUACGUCUCGCACUGGGAUCCGGAGGGACUCUUGCCGUAAAACCCCCAAUUUUCCAAAGGUUGACCUCGGAUCAGGUAGGAAUACCCGCUGAACUUAAGCA
This 536-nucleotide ribosomal RNA is filed under the name fungal endophyte. RNAcentral's name for it is "eukaryotic LSU rRNA". The stretch from base 182 to 335 matches the Rfam family "5.8S ribosomal RNA". The record is from RNAcentral. Lineage: Eukaryota; Fungi.